Molecule: long non-coding RNA, 1816 nt
Organism: Balaenoptera ricei (Rice's whale)
Lineage: Eukaryota; Metazoa; Chordata; Mammalia; Artiodactyla; Balaenopteridae
Exons: 5
Source: RefSeq, a predicted model, not a curated record
CAGGAUUUUGUGAAAACAGCUCUGAGAAAUGAGGGGAAGGAACAGCGGGCAGGGAAGACGGCAGGGGAAAGGUGGGUCUCUUGAUGUUCAUUUCUUGCCAGACGAUCAGCACCUUAGAGUUUAAAAAUCCGUUCUCUUGCCUCGCUUCUCCCUAGAGCAACCCCCCCCCCCCCGCCGCCCCCUGCCCCGCGUCACGCCUUCUCCAGUCCUCCUCUUUGGGGACGCUCCGGGACGGGCACCCGGGGGCUUUGGGGGACGAGCGCUCCUAGGGCAAGGCGGAGGCAGCCCGGUCUGAUGGUCUGAUGCCAGUGAAGUGACGCCUCAUUCCGGUUGUGUUUGAAGAAUUGCUGGGGCUGUCGUGACAACUGAGGGCAAAGGAGGGAAAACAGAAGCAAAGAAAACCAUCUCAAAAGUCUUGGGAUUUGCUGCUGUUAAAAGGCUGCUGUUCAUUUCUGAUUUCCUCAUCUUUUGCUACAAAGGAAAAAAAAAAUCUAAUGAUGUGUCUACCUUCGAUGAGAAGAAAACACUAACAACAGUGAAGGUUCGAACGUCAUUGUGUGGAGAGGGCAGGAGUGAAUUAGGGCCCCGGGGAGCACGUACGCGGGGCAACGAGAUGGCCUGAAAUACGAGCCGAACCUGUUUUGAAACAAGCUGAAUUGGUACUCACCUGGAUGAAGGAUUUGAAGGCAGGCAGGCCCACAAGCCAGCAGGAAACUGUUGUCUUUCCAACUCCAUCUUUAGGCACAGACAAAUGGUCAGCUGAGUGGCAUCAUUAAUAGAAGCAGCUAUUUUAGAAGCUCUACUUCUGGAAGUGGAGUAAAAAGGAGGCGUAACCUGGAGUUUAAGAUACCCACUGAUAAUGAGGGUAUUUGAGUGAUGGUAAUUGGCAAGGAGAAAGACUUAAAGAUCUAUCUGGAGACCAACCCUCACACUCCAGGCAUGCUGCCAGAUAAAGACUAAAAACAGCAUGUAAGAUGGCAAGAAAAAUAUGCUCUUGGUUUCUUCAUUGCCAUAAAAGCCACUGGGAAGAGCUUAAAGAGACAUGCCAUUCCUGAAUGGUAACAUGAGACUUCUUGUUCUAUGACUUGUGUGAAAACUUCUGCCCUUCCGGACUGGAGACAAGGAGUAUCAUUUUCAACAAAGUGCAACCCUUUGGUCUAUCUACUCAUCAUCAAAAAAGGGUACAGUAAGUAAAGCUGCAGAAUGAUCAUCCCUUUACAUUCAGUGCUGAUCUUGGAACCAGAUCAGUAACUCAACAAUAUUGCUUCUUUCUUUUAGACUAAGGUAAUGGAACCUCUUUAACCUUGAGGAUGACAAUUUGAUUUUUGCACACCACACAAGGUUUGGUAGUACACGACAAGCUUACAGAAUGUAGCCACAGCUUCUUGCUCUGGGAAAUGUGGAUCAAUUUAAUUAUUAAAACCAUUUUGAUGUUGGGGCCCUUGUGAGCAGAAUCUUUAAGAUGACCUGAGCCAAUCCACACUCCAUUAUUUCACUGACACUUAACAUGUUCUUUGCAGCUGUCAAGCUGUAUCUCCCCAAAUCCAAGACAAUGAGUAAAUUACAUCAGUUCAGUCAGUGCAAAAAUCAGCGAAAAUAGUUGCAUGACUGAACCGACAAGUCAUUUGACACACUGUAAACUGAAACACUGAAGGAAAUUGGAAGAACUGAGAUUGUGUUGUCCCCUGAGUCACUUAAAAUCUCUGAGUGUGUUUUGUUUUCUGUAAAAUGGGUGUAUUAAUACUUUGCCCAGAUGGGUUGUGGUGAAGGUUAGAAAUAAUGCAUGUAAAGUAUCGGACAUGUAGCAGACCCUUGA